This 433-nucleotide unclassified non-coding RNA is filed under the name soil metagenome. RNAcentral's name for it is "partial contains 5.8S ribosomal RNA, internal transcribed spacer 2, and large subunit ribosomal RNA". The stretch from base 1 to 120 matches the Rfam family "5.8S ribosomal RNA", at positions 35 to 154 of the family's 154-position model. The record is from RNAcentral.
GAUGAAGAACGCAGCGAAAUGCGAUACGUAAUGUGAAUUGCAGAAUUCAGUGAAUCAUCGAAUCUUUGAACGCAUAUUGCGCUCUCUGGUAUUCCGGAGAGCAUGCUUGUUUGAGUAUCAGUAAACACCUCAACUUCCAUAUCUUUUUUGAAAUGGGAGUUGGACUUGAGUGAUCCCAACGCUUUUCCUCACCGAAAAGUGGCGGGGUACUUGAAAUGCAGGUGCAGCUGGACUUUUCUCUGAGCUAUAAGCAUAUCUAUUUAGUCUGCCUAAAAAACAGAUUAUUACCUUUGCUGCAGCUAACAUAAAGGAGAUUAGUUCUUGUGCUGACUGAUGCAGGAUUCACAAAGACAGGCUUCGGCCGACUUUGUAAACUCGAUCUCAAAUCAAGUAAGACUACCCGCUGAACUUAAGCAUAUCAAUAAGCGGAGGA